This 490-nucleotide ribosomal RNA is filed under the name uncultured bacterium. RNAcentral's name for it is "partial 16S ribosomal RNA". It matches the Rfam family "Bacterial small subunit ribosomal RNA", at positions 30 to 507 of the family's 1533-position model. The record is from RNAcentral.
AUUGAACGCUGGCGGCAGGCCUAACACAUGCAAGUCGAACGGUAACAGGAAGAAGCUUGCUUCUUUGCUGACGAGUGGCGGACGGGUGAGUAAUGUCUGGGAAACUGCCUGAUGGAGGGGGAUAACUACUGGAAACGGUAGCUAAUACCGCAUAACGUCGCAAGACCAAAGAGGGGGACCUUCGGGCCUCUUGCCAUCGGAUGUGCCCAGAUGGGAUUAGCAAGUAGGUGGGGUAACGGCUCACCUAGGCGACGAUCCCUAGCUGGUCUGAGAGGAUGACCAGCCACACUGGAACUGAGACACGGUCCAGACUCCUACGGGAGGCAGCAGUGGGGAAUAUUGCACAAAGGGCGCAAGCCUGAUGCAGCCAUGCCGCGUGUAUGAAGAAGGCCUUCGGGUUGUAAAGUACUUUCAGCGGGGAGGAAGGGAGUAAAGUUAAUACCUUUGCUCAUUGACGUUACCCGCAGAAGAAGCACCGGCUAACUCCGUG